This 253-nucleotide ribosomal RNA is filed under the name uncultured bacterium. Its description in RNAcentral is "partial 16S ribosomal RNA". It matches the Rfam family "Bacterial small subunit ribosomal RNA", at positions 524 to 776 of the family's 1533-position model. The record is from RNAcentral.
UACAGAGGUGUCAAACGUUGUCCGGAAUUAUUGGGCGUAAAGGGCGCGUAGGCGGCCGGGUAAGUGAGAUGUGAAAGCUCUGGGCUCAACCCAGGAAUUGCAUUUCAUACUGCUCGGCUUGAGAUUGGUAGAGGAUGGCGGAAUUCCAGGUGUAGCGGUGAAAUGCGUAGAUAUCUGGAGGAACACCGGUGGCGAAGGCGGCAUCCUGGACCGAUACUGACGCUGAGGAGCGAAAGCCAGGGGAGCAAACGGG